Molecule: non-coding RNA, 5476 nt
Organism: Podarcis lilfordi (Lilford's wall lizard)
Lineage: Eukaryota; Metazoa; Chordata; Lepidosauria; Squamata; Lacertidae
Source: the annotation of a GenBank genome assembly
GGCAGUGGGGGCUGUAGCUAUUACCACUAAGCUUACUGGUGACUUCCAGUUUCCUGGUCUCCCUCAGUUUCAUAAUUCCUAGCCACAUCUGUACUUGAACAUAAUUUGGCUGUGUGUGUGUGUUCAAAGAAGUAGAAUAUCAGCCUGAGUCAGGUUUCCCACAAUGCAUCACCUUCCUCUUGAACAAGACUGAUUCUCUGGUAUAUUUAACUGGAAUCACUUAGAUUGGCUGUCACUUAAAUCCUCCAAAUUCACAAAGGCUUGGCCCUCUAGAUGAGUCUUCCCCCACUCUCCAGAUGUUAUUGGCUACAGCUCCCAUCAUUCAUGCUUCUUAGCUUUUGUAGCUAGUUUUCUUGCUGAUUAUUAUAGCCACCUCAGCCCUUUUGAGAAAGACAAGGUCUAUUUUAAAAAAUAAAUAAAUACGUAAAUGAAUGAAAACUACCAGGUGAAUUACCUUUUGUUCAUUGGCAGCUGAACAAAAUAAUGGAUGGAUGGAUUCUCAUUUUAAAAGUGUGUGUUGCAUUCAACUCCAGUAGAAACCAAUGGACUGAAACUUGUCCAUAGAGUUCAAUGGGUCUCUCCUACGUAUGAGCAUAUUAUUGCUGUUUUGUGAGCGACUGCAAACCACCCUGGAUAUUUUUACAGUUGAAGGGUGAUAUAGAAAAGUUAUAAAUGAAUGAAUGAAGAAAUAAAUAUACUGUAGAUGGUUGUUUCAUUCUUCUUGCCUCAGUAUCCAUGCCCACGUUUAGGAAAGCUUUUGUCCAUGUCGGGAAUAUGCAAAGAAAUCACAACUGAGCUGCUUCGAAACAGAUACUGCAGGAGGCAUCCAAUCAGUUUCUUAAAUUUGCUUUUGUUGUAGGAUUACCAUGAAAUGGGUAGCAACCAAAACACAAACACAAUGAAAGAAUAAACAUUGUGUGAUACAGAAGUAUAACUAUUGUGUGCCCCAUGUCGCAAUGUAUUAUCCAUCUGAUAUGCGCAGCAAAUUUGCUUAGGGUUGUUGAGUCAUUUGGCUUGUUUUCCUUUGCAUUUUAAGAGAAGAAAGUAGAUUCUAUUGUAUCUGUAUUUUUAGCUUUUUAUUCUUCUGAGCUACCAUGAGAGUCUGCCCCUAGGCUAGCUGGCAGGAUAUAAAAAUGGGUUAGUGAACACACACACACACACACACACACACACACACAGACACAAUAGCACUCAGUUCUAAACAAACUUCUGAAUGUUUUGAACAACUCCAGUGCAUCUGCACAGAAAUACUACUACUACUACUACUACUAAUAAUGCAUUAGACUGAAGAAAUAUUUUCAGACCUAGUUUUUGAGUUGCAACAGAUCAGUACCUAUAUCAAAGAAAACCCCAACAUAAACCAUUCCUUCCUCAAGGUGCAAUUAGCUUUAGGGGGAUAAAUCCCAGCGGCUGUAGAGGGAAGGGUUAAACCCUUUGGUGCUGUGGAGGGAGAAUGCAAGGGAGCACCUUCCAGGACUUUUUCAAAGCAUGUGUUACCUGCCAUAAGCCAGAGCGCCAGGGAAAGGUGAUAGGAAAGCUGUGGCAAGGGAAUGAGGUGAUCCUGAGGAUCCCAAGUUUUUUGUGUGUGGCAGAUUAUCAUAUGGAAGAAAUUGGGAGGAAAAUAAUCUGGCAGAGGCUGGGUUCUUGCUUCCUUUUCUUUGAUGGGGUUCCUAAUCCUUGCUAGCGGUUUAAAUGCUAACACUUUGCAAUCACGGUUGCCAUUUCUAAUGAAAAGCUUUCGUUUUAACCAGCAUUUUAGCUGACAGAGACUCUUGUGUUGAAGUUCCAUGGAGAAGUCUGUUAGGCGGUAUAAGCCUUUGGUUUGCCAGGUUUUUAUCUGGAAGUUUUGUGCUGCGUGAUGCAAUAAUGGGUGAUGUGCCAAGGGAAUUAGUGGGGAUGGGGUUGGGGACAGUUUACCUAUUUCUGCUUUCCUUGCCUUAAGCCUGGUUUAUGUGAACCUGUUCAGUGUUGUAGGAAUUUUCCUUAGUUUGUUUGGGAGGAAUGGGUUUGCUGUGGUGCAGGUAUUUUCAAUUGUGUCCCUCUCCAGUUGUACCCAUUGUUUUGUCUUGUCUUCCAGUAUAUAUGGGAUUAUGUGGCGUACUUGGUUGGCGAUGUAAUAUGUUUCUAUGUUGGGGAUUGAAGUUCCAUGUGUUUAAACCUAUGUGCUCAGAAUGAAGCCACACAGAAUUCAGUGGAGCUUGAGGUUAUUCCCAGGACACUGUGCAUAGGACUGAAGUCAUGUUGAUGCUUUUAAAUUGUAUGUCAUGUUAUGUACUGCCACUCUUUGGGGUGUGUGUGGUUGUAGAUGGGGGCAGCUGCCUGCAUUUUUUAACCUUCCUUGCAGGCAUGGUUAUGGAGGCUGCCACAAGGAGCUCCCGUAAUCCAAAAUUCACCAUUACACCACUGAUAUAGUGAAACAAAGACUUUGACCCUUUGAGAAACCUGAAUGUUCAGAUCAGAGUCUGAAUCCCGGGGAACCUUAUCAUUGCUCCCUUUAAAAUCUUCGGAGAAUUUGUUUUCCCUGCAACACAACAUAAAAAACCAGUGUGAUUACGCCAAGGUAGUUUUUCUGAGAUCUUUCUGUUGAAGAACUAAGUCACAUCGUUGCAGCCAAAUAGCAGAUUAGAAACGGGAUUCUAGCUGUCACCCUGCAUCUGAAUUUGACAGAUAUAUAGGUCAUUAAAUGUUCUUCCCUAUUGUCAUUAUAGCAAUGAAGACCACAAGCUGGAAAAAUAUUUUUUGGAUCCCCUGCCACCUGAGCUUAGAAGGGAUUUUUUAAAUUGUGGUGAGAUUCUAGACUAUAAUUAUGGAAGAAACUACGAACCAUUAUGUGUGAAUUGUUGUGGGCUCUAUUUAAAAAGUUACAAUUUGGCCACAGCCAGAGAAAGCAGAGUACCUCAUUAACAGAAAGGACGAGUUUGUUAUAUACACCUUGUAGGUUUUGCACAUAUAACAAUUAAUGGUGAUGUCACUUUUGUCCGCAGGAUGUGAUCUUCUAAGAUCACCACCACCACCAUUAUAAAAAAUAUAUGUAUGUACAAAUAUAUAUAAAUAUUCUCAGCUGGCAUGUGGCAAAAAUGAUCUCUGGCCCAAGAAAGGUUAUAUCAUAAUAAACUACCACCUGCUGAUUUGACAUUCAUUGAUAUGGCCACACACAACCCCAAUCUCCAUGAGUGGUGUGAGAUUCCAGGUGCACAUUACCCGGGUCUUUGUUUCCUUUGGAAAUAAGGCACAGUGGAGACUGUGGUGUCUUUAUGAUAUGUGGUUUAUUUACGCAACCUGAGUCUAGAGGGAGAGAGUUCAGAGCAUUCAUGUUCCAAGUGGGUCUCUUGCUUCUCCCAUGGGUGCAGCAGGCUUGGGAACAGAGAAAUCGGCCAUGCUCUCUGUCUCUUUGCCAACCCACAAGCUGCUCUUCGGCUCCCUCCUUCUUCCUUGUCCGCUAACCCAGUGAAACUUUAUCCCUCCAGCCUAACAUCAUCCAAACUGAAAUCCUAAACCCUUUUUGCUUCUGCCUGCUAACACACAGCUGGAAGAAGGGUCUCACCCCGUCUUCACCCUCUUGAUAGCUUUAUUUCACUGGUCUUUGUCCCUCUAAUCAACCACACACAGUUAGGGGUCACCAGGCUGGCUUGGCUUGUUAACAUAAGCUUAACCGUGCCUGGAAUAAUUUAACUCCCCAAACCUUGGCUCAUUCUAACUUUCAUUGGACCCAGGGAUUUAGGGUGUCUUGCACCCCACAAACUCACAACAAUAUCUUUUAGAGGCUAGGCUGAAGAGGACCUGCAAAAGGACCAAUGGUUGGACUCAGUGUAACACAGCAUCCUGUGCCUGCACUUUAUUUACCAAAACCUUUUCUGGGUUGUAAUUAAGAAUAAUAUUUUUCGACUAGGUCUGGUGUAAACCGUGAUUUUUGAAAAAGCGACUUUGUAUAAAUGGUUUUUUGUUAUUUUGGGUAAGCCUGUUGGGCAUUUAUUUAAAUAGAAAGGCCAUAUAUUUUUAAUUAAUUGAUUGCAUUUGUUAGGGAACAAUCCCUUUCAGGUGUCAAGAUCAGGUGUCAAGUUAUGCAACCCUCUGAAGCCCCCAAAUUGUGGAUUUUCCUCCCCAAAGAGGUGCAUCUGGCUUCUUCAAUAUAUAGUUUGCAGCGAAUGCUGAAGACACACUUCUUUACCAGGCCUUGGACACCCUGGGAGAUGUGUGUUUUCAGGGCCUGUCCUAUUCCUAUGGCUGUAAUUUGUUUAAUCUGUUUUUAAUACUGAGUUUUAAAUUAUUGCAACCCACCCUGGGACCUGCUGGCGAAGGAUACAUUGCCAUUAUUCUUAUUCUUUAGAGAAAGGCCCACAGCAAAGGAUGCCUGCCACAGAAAAUGAGUCGAGCUUUCCCGGGAAAAGAGAGGAGGCAAGGAUUUUUCACGAUCCCGGGCCCUUGUUUCUGCCUCCCUUCCAUUAAAUACUGACAGUCAAUGUGCCAGUUGCAUUUGCAUUUGCGUCAAACGUUUCACCAUAUGUUUCCCAGCACUCCUGGUUAUGCAAUUUCACCGUUCAAUUUCAUUUAUUGUAAAGCGGAUUAGUCUCUGCAACAUAACCCGAGAGACGUAAUCGUAUAACAUAAUUAAACACUACCCCCAUCUCUGAGCGGUGUGAGAUUCAAGGGAGUUUCAGGCACACUUUGCCCAUGGUUGGUGUUUCCUUUUACAAAAUGAGGCACAGCAGAGACUGUGGUGUCUUUAUGAUAUUUGGUUUAUUUACACAUCUAUACAACCUGAACCUAUGAUGUGGGGUGCACAGCAUUCAUACCCAAGUAGCUCCAGCUUCUUCCAUAGCCACAGCAGCCUUGGAUUUAAGCAGACCCCCAACACUGCUCUCAGACGUUGUUCUCUGAUUCACUUUCCAACCUGUUCCUUACUAGCUCCGAUGCAUAACUCCUACUGUUCAUGUGGUUUGGAUACCUGAUUACCGUCUUCCAAAGCAACUGCUUUAUUCCCAACUUAAGAAUGGAAAGUGAAAUACUGGUCGACAAUAAAAGAAGUUUAAAGACAAGAUGGUGGUGGAGAUGCUCCUUCAGGUAUACUGGGCCAAGGCCGUUUAGGGCUUUGAAGGUCAGCACCAACCCUCUGAAUUGUUCUCGGAAACGUACUAGGAGCCAGUGGAGAUCCUUUAGGACCAGUGUUAUAUGGUCCCUGUGGCCACUCCAAGUCACCAGUCUUGCUGCCGCAUUCUGGAUUAGUUGUAGUUUCUGUAUCAUGGGAUCAUGGGAAUUGUAGUCCAGAAACAUCUGGAAGGGAACAGGUUCUCUACUCUCUUCUAACCCAAAACCUCCCCUUGUGUGUACCUGUUAUUUAUUGUUUUAUCUUCAUUUCACUUACUAACUGACUUACUAUGCAAACUGUCUCAAGGUGACCGAUGAUGAAAGAAAUUGCACGGGUCCAACACAAAGAAUAACAUACGCAAUGUAAAAAUAAAUAAAUCAUAAUAAUCUA